AUUGAACGCUGGCGGCAGGCCUAACACAUGCAAGUCGAGCGGAUGAAGGGAGCUUGCUCCUGGAUUCAGCGGCGGACGGGUGAGUAAUGCCUAUGAAUCUGCCUGGUAGUGGGGGAUAACGUCCGUAAACGGGCGCUAAUACCGCAUACGUCCUGAUGGAGAAAGUGGUGGAUCUUCGGACCUCACGCUAUCAGCUGAGCCUAGGUCGGAUUAGCUAGUUGGUGGGGUAAAGGCCUACCAAGGCGACGAUCCGUAACUGGUCUGAGAGGAUGAUCAGUCACACUGGAACGGAGACACGGUCAAGACUACUACGGGAGGCAGCAGUGGGGAAUAUUGGACAAUGGGCGAAAGCAUGAUCCAGCAAUGCCGCGUGUGUGAAGAAGGUCUUCGGAUUGUAAAGCACUUUAAGUUGGGAGGAAGGGAAGUAAGUUAAUAACUUGCUGUUUUGACGGUACCAACAGAAUAAGCACCGGCUAACUUCGUG
Molecule: ribosomal RNA, 484 nt
Filed under: uncultured bacterium
Lineage: Bacteria
Description: partial 16S ribosomal RNA
Rfam family: Bacterial small subunit ribosomal RNA
Source: RNAcentral